This 449-nucleotide ribosomal RNA is filed under the name Oxalobacteraceae bacterium oral taxon C91. RNAcentral describes it as "bacterial SSU rRNA". It matches the Rfam family "Bacterial small subunit ribosomal RNA", at positions 30 to 474 of the family's 1533-position model. Lineage: Bacteria; Pseudomonadati; Pseudomonadota; Betaproteobacteria; Burkholderiales; Oxalobacteraceae. The record is from RNAcentral.
AUUGAACGCUGGCGGCAUGCUUUACACAUGCAAGUCGAACGGCAGCGCGGGGCAACCUGGCGGCGAGUGGCGAACGGGUGAGUAAUAUAUCGGAACGUACCCAGAAGUGGGGGAUAACGUAGCGAAAGUUACGCUAAUACCGCAUACGAUCUACGGAUGAAAGUGGGGGACCUUCGGGCCUCAUGCUUUUGGAGCGGCCGAUAUCUGAUUAGCUAGUUGGUGAGGUAAAGGCUCACCAAGGCGACGAUCAGUAGCUGGUCUGAGAGGACGACCAGCCACACUGGGACUGAGACACGGCCCAGACUCCUACGGGAGGCAGCAGUGGGGAAUUUUGGACAAUGGGCGCAAGCCUGAUCCAGCAAUGCCGCGUGAGUGAAGAAGGCCUUCGGGUUGUAAAGCUCUUUUGUCAGGGAAGAAACGGCUGAGGUUAAUACCUUUGGCUAAUGACG